Molecule: ribosomal RNA, 491 nt
Filed under: uncultured bacterium
Lineage: Bacteria
Description: bacterial SSU rRNA
Rfam family: Bacterial small subunit ribosomal RNA
Source: RNAcentral
ACGCUGGCGGCGUGCCUAACACAUGCAAGUCGAGCGGGGACAUGCGACGGAACCGGAAGUUUUCGGGAUGGAAGGCGAAGAUGUAUGUUCUAGCGGCGGACGGGUGAGUAACGCGUGAGCAACCUGUCCUUCACAGGGGGAUAACACAGCGAAAGUUGUACUAAUACCGCAUAAGACCACACCGGGACAUCCCGGAGGGGUCAAAGGAGCAAUCCGGUGAAGGGUGGGCUCGCGUCCGAUUAGAUAGUUGGUGAGGUAACGGCCCACCAAGUCGACGAUCGGUAGCCGACCUGAGAGGGUGAUCGGCCACAUUGGGACUGAGACACGGCCCAAACUCCUACGGGAGGCAGCAGUGGGGAAUAUUGGGCAAUGGGGAAACCCUGACCCAGCAACGCCGCGUGAGGGAAGAAGGUUUUCGGAUUGUAAACCUCUGUCUUUGGUGACGAACAAAUGACGGUAGCCAAGGAGGAAGCCACGGCUAACUACGUGCC